CAGUAGCCACGGGAAUACGUAGGUGGCAAGCGUUGUCCGGAAUUAUUGGGCGUAAAGGGCUCGCAGGCGGUUUCUUAAGUCUGAUGUGAAAGCCCCCGGCUCGACCGGGGAGGGUCAUUGGAAACUGGGAAACUUGAGUGCAGAAGAGGAGAGUGGAAUUCCACGUGUAGCGGUGAAAUGCGUAGAGAUGUGGAGGAACACCAGUGGCGAAGGCGACUCUCUGGUCUGUAACUGACGCUGAGGAGCGAAAGCGUGGGGAGCGAACAGGAUUAGAUACCCCCGUAGUCCCUGUCUCUUAUAC
This 301-nucleotide ribosomal RNA is filed under the name uncultured bacterium. Its description in RNAcentral is "partial 16S ribosomal RNA". It matches the Rfam family "Bacterial small subunit ribosomal RNA", at positions 509 to 807 of the family's 1533-position model. The record is from RNAcentral.